GAUGAACGCUAGCGGGAGGCCUAACACAUGCAAGCCGAGCGGUAGAGGUUCUUCGGAAACUUGAGAGCGGCGCACGGGUGCGUAACACGUGGGCAACAUACCUUUAUCUGGGGGAUAGCCUUUCGAAAGGAAGAUUAAUACCCCAUAAUAUAAUGAUAGACAUCAAUUAUUAUUGAAAACUCCGGUGGAUAGAGAUGGGCACGCGCAAGAUUAGAUAGUUGGUGAGCUAACGGCUCAACAAGUCAAUGAUCUUUAGGGGGCCUGAGAGGGAGAUCCCCAAAACUGGUACUGAGAUACGGACCAUCCUCCUGCGGCAGGCAGCCGUAAGAAGUAUGGGACAAUGGAUGAGCGACUUAUCCAGCCAGCUCACGUGCAGGAGGACUGUACUAUGGAUGUUACGCUUCUUUUGUACAGGGAUAAACCUACCCUCGUGCAGGUAGCUGAAGGUACUGUACGAAUAAGCACCGGCUAACUUCGUG
This 479-nucleotide ribosomal RNA is filed under the name uncultured bacterium. RNAcentral describes it as "partial 16S ribosomal RNA". It matches the Rfam family "Bacterial small subunit ribosomal RNA", at positions 28 to 507 of the family's 1533-position model. The record is from RNAcentral.